GGGACGGUAGUUCAAACGGAAGAACGCUAUGACAUCAAUCGUGGAAGUUGGAGGUUCGAGUCCUCCUCGUCCCC
This 74-nucleotide transfer RNA is filed under the name Lusitaniella coriacea LEGE 07157. Its description in RNAcentral is "Leptolyngbya mycoidea LEGE 07157 tRNA". It matches the Rfam family "tRNA". Rfam says of the family: Transfer RNA (tRNA) molecules are approximately 80 nucleotides in length. Lineage: Bacteria; Bacillati; Cyanobacteriota; Cyanophyceae; Spirulinales; Lusitaniellaceae. The record is from Rfam by way of RNAcentral.